RNAcentral lists this transfer RNA (73 nucleotides) under Eumetopias jubatus (Steller sea lion). RNAcentral's name for it is "tRNA-Asn". The record is from RNAcentral. Lineage: Eukaryota; Metazoa; Chordata; Mammalia; Carnivora; Otariidae.
CUAGAUAGGCGGGCCUCUAUCCCGCGAAGAUUUAGUUAACAGCUAAAUACCCUAGUCACCUGGCUUCAAUCUA